GAUGAACGCUGGCGGCGUGCCUAAUACAUGCAAGUCGAGCGAACGGACGAGAAGCUUGCUUCUCUGAUGUUAGCGGCGGACGGGUGAGUAACACGUGGAUAACCUACCUAUAAGACUGGGAUAACUUCGGGAAACCGGAGCUAAUACCGGAUAAUAUUUUGAACCGCAUGGUUCAAAAGUGAAAGACGGUCUUGCUGUCACUUAUAGAUGGAUCCGCGCUGCAUUAGCUAGUCGGUAAGGUAACGGCUUACCAAGGCAACGAUGCAUAGCCGACCUGAGAGGGGAAACGGCCAAACGGGAAAGGAGACAGGGUCCAAACCCCAAGGGGAGGAAGAAGGGGGGAAUUUUCCGAAAGGGGGGAAAGCCGAACGGAGCAACGCGGGGGGGGGGAGGAGGGUCUUGGGAUGGAAAAACUUUGUUAUUAGGGAAAAAAAUAGGUGAAAGAAACUGGGCACAUUUGGAGGGUCCAAAAUAAGAAAACCAGGGCAAAUUAGGG
RNAcentral lists this ribosomal RNA (496 nucleotides) under uncultured bacterium. Its description in RNAcentral is "partial 16S ribosomal RNA". It matches the Rfam family "Bacterial small subunit ribosomal RNA", at positions 28 to 506 of the family's 1533-position model. The record is from RNAcentral.